Molecule: long non-coding RNA, 1032 nt
Organism: Pan troglodytes (chimpanzee)
Lineage: Eukaryota; Metazoa; Chordata; Mammalia; Primates; Hominidae
Exons: 6
Source: RefSeq, a predicted model, not a curated record
UCAGGGAAAGGGAAAUCUGUAAACACUGGCCAUUGAAGAAUACGGUUUCUGAGAAUUUCCACUCUGAAUUCACAUUCCGUUCAGUGUUAUCGCCACCCUGUGGAUUUCUUGGGUAAUGAAACUCAGACAGGGAAAUGAAAACGGGGAUUUUCAGUAAAUCGGUUCCAGUACAUCUCUGCUGCUCUUGUGGGCGCCCUCUUUUGAGCACCGGAGGAAUGAGCACCGUUCUUCAUUCUUUUGGUUUUGUAAAGUUGUAGAGCUGCGUUCCUACCUCACUGGCUUUGAGCACAACCCAGGAAGAAGUUUGAAACCAAGAAAAUGGUGAUUGGGAAGACCAGGAUGCGCAAUGGCAAAGUGAGAUCCUGGUUAUCUCUUUUUCUUCUAGCAUUUGUUUCCCUAAGUGGAAUACGAGAUUUACUGCAUUUUUUUGGUGAAUGAUAUGAAAUAGAAGACAGAUGUUCAUGACUGGAGGGCUUAUUGAGAAUUAUGUUAAGCUUGCUGACAACUCUGGAAUACACAGUAGGCACCCAAUACAUACAAGGGAGUAAAUGAAUGAAUUAAAGCUGUCUGUAUCUGCUGAUCGUCCACAAUUUAGACGUCCUAUACUACAUUCCAAUUGAGGGUAAGCGGGGUACGUGUCCUGAAUUUGUAGAAUCUUUUGACACAAAGCAACAGAGCCACAGUCAAGACUCAAGUCAAAAGAAAUUUAGACCCCAUCUGGGCAAACAGGCCUCUAAGCAACAAUCUAAGAUUUCCACCUAUUGUUCUGGCAUUCCUUGUAUAAAUGAUUAUGACUGCAGAGAUCUUAGGAAGUGCUGUGGUACCUUUAGAUGUGGCCUGAGGUGCAUACAUCCUCUUAUGAUUGACCCUGUAUUGUUCAAUUCACCUCCACAAUCCAAGGCAUAAAUAUUGGAUGGAGAAAUGGAUUCAGAUGGAGGCAUCAUUGAGCUUAUUCUUGACUCAUCUCAGUCCAAACAUUACUCUGUCAAUCGUUGUUCUUAAAAUCUGCAUAUUAAAAGCUCAGCAUCAACU